GCUUUUUGUUGAAUUACGACAAUAUUAAAAAUAUUCCCUUUUUCUAAGACUCUCCUCUCUCUAUCCUUUCUCUCUCUCGCUGGCUUUUUGCGCCCCAAACUACUCAAGAAUCUACAUUCAUGUUCCAUCUCAGGUUCUAUGGUUGAUGCGCCUGAAAAAUUGGCAUCAGAGCCAACCGAUUUAGACCAAAGCCUUACCUCGCUUUUUUCGCAACUCACAAAGAAAACCACGAUGACACACGCCGCGCGAUUUCAAAACCUAGAAGAAAGGUAAACCUAGAAGAAAGGUCACUGUUACAUGAUUAAUCUACUGGGGAUUUGAGUGAUAGAAUCAUGAGGCUGGAGGAAACAGUGAAUCGAAGCAUGGCAAACACUCAAUUUGACAUUCUAGAACUCAGAUCGUGAGGCUGGAGGAAAUUUUAAUAUUGAAGAUUCAAUAUGGUAAUGUCAUGAAUUAUCCAUACGGGAAGUUUACCAGGUUAGUUGUUAUUAUAAAUUAUUUGAAUCGUUAUGAAUUAAUUGUUAUUUGAAUUUGUGUUUCACAAUUAGUUUCUGAUUGUUAAUUAGAGUAUUAAAUUAUUUAUUAUAACCAGUAACUUC
Non-coding RNA from Jatropha curcas, 599 nucleotides. The record is from RefSeq and is a predicted model, not a curated record. NCBI's taxonomy places the organism in Eukaryota, Viridiplantae, Streptophyta, Magnoliopsida, Malpighiales, Euphorbiaceae.